UGGAAUUAAGAAGCGAUUACGGUGGAUAAUGUUUGUCACCACGGUGGAUUUUGAAUGGAAAUGCAAAUUACGCACACAUCGUUACUGAUUCUGAGAUUGAGCAAAGCAUAGAACGAAGCUAUUUACGAAUGAGCGUUUUUCGAAUCGAGCAUUCCGAUGAGAGGAGGAAUUGCUCCGAGCAUUGCGAGAUUCACUCUCGCUUCGGCAUCUUCCUUCACCAACGAGCUCACUCUCUCCGCCACGAUUCUUGUUAAGCCACUAGCAAGUGUACCAGAUCAUUAUCAAGUAAUAUAAUUGGUAAACCCAAUAUCG
This 312-nucleotide long non-coding RNA is filed under the name Vigna radiata. RNAcentral describes it as "long non-coding RNA (VRAD_LNC018207)". The record is from RNAcentral. Lineage: Eukaryota; Viridiplantae; Streptophyta; Magnoliopsida; Fabales; Fabaceae.